UGUACUUAAUACAGUAUGUGAUAUAAACUUUCUUACCUUAAGGUGGCUAUUAUAUUAGGAAUACUAUAAAGGAGAGGUUAAGAUCACAGAUGUGGGAGUCAGACUGCUUGAGUUUGAAUCCUAGAUCUGCUACUUUUUUAGUUGUGUAACAUAAAGAAAGUUACUUAACCUCUCUAUAAUUCAGUUUCUCAUUUUAAAUGGAGAUAAUAAUUGUAUCCACUUCAUAGGGUUGUGGUCAGAGUUAAAUGAGUUGCAGUUCCCCAAAUGGGCCAUAAUCUUCAUCAUAACCAAGCCUUUGUAGUAUAUGUUCCUGCACCUCACCACUCCUUCAUUUAGGUCCAGGUUAGCUAGUCCAUUCUCUAAGAAACUUGUGAUCUCUCAAGUUCAGAUGUGCCUUCUCUUUUCUUUCUUUUCUUUUCUUUUCUUUUCUUUCUUUUCAUUUCCUUUUUCCUUCCUCCGUUCUUUUCUCCUUCCUUCCUUCUUUCUCUUUUUUCUUUCUUCUUUCUUUCUUUCUUUCUUUCUUUUUCUUUCUUUCUUUCCUUCCUUCCUUCCUCCCUUCUUCUUUUUGUGCAUGUGCAUGCACUUUCUUGAAAAGGACCCAAAGCAAUGUUACUUAUGACUCAACAUCAUACCAAGAUUCUGAGAAACUGCCCUUUCACAUUAAACAUUCAUAUUUGAAGACUAAGUCAAUCUUUGAGGACUAGUCUAGCAGACAAUUAGAAAGGGCAGCCUGGGUGCAGUGGCUCAUGUCUAUAAUCCCAGCACUUUGGGAGGCCUAGACAAGAGGGUCACUUGAGCCCAGAAGUUCAUGACCAGCCUGGGCAACAUAACAACAUCUCUACAAAAAAUAAAACACACUAGCUGGGCAUGGUGGUGCAUGCCUGUGGUCCCAGCUACUUGGGAGGCUGAGGCAGGAGGAUCACUUAAGACCAGAAAUUUGAGGCUACUGUGAGCUAUGAUCACACCACUGCACUCCAGCCUGGACAUCAGAGUGAGACCUUGUCCCAAACAAACAAACAAAAACACAGAAACGGCAAAUUCCCUCCUGUCUUCAAUGUCACCUCACCUCUCUAGUAACCAAAACUCUGCUACCAGCCUAAACUUGUUUCCCAGACUCUUUUUUCUGAAGAUGGAUUAACUCCUGAGGGCUUUGCAAAUUCUUCAUGGACGCAGAUUUCUGGAGAAUACAUCCCAGCACUUCACUGAAAAUGACAAACCUGGUCUAGAUCUCAAUAGAUGCAUCCUAGAUUAAAGCUGGGAUCGCCAUUGUAUUAACAUAAGAAAAAAAAUCUUCCCUACAUUUUCUGUGGACUCUGUGUGUGUGUUUCUUUUGAGGUUGGGAUGCUUUUUAAUCUCCUACAUUGUGAUAAUAUCUAUCCCUGCUUUUGAGCCAAGUUAAAUGCAGCCUCAUGUGCUGAAGGCAUAUAAGUCCGUGGCAAAAAAAAAAAGAAGACAUGAAAAGGGAAGUUGGAGCCGAAGCUCACAAAGACAUUGGGAAGAGGGAAUGUACUGCCCAGAAUGGUUCCAAUAAAAGUCAGGAAAUGAUCCUCAAGUCAACAAAAGUUUAGAGUUAGUGACGCUUGUAAGACUUUAAUAUUUAAUAUAACCCCUCCAGUUUGAUCAAAAGCAUCUUACAUUUUCUGGCAUUUGAGUGAAAAUAAUUCCUGGCUUCAUUACAUUUUAAAAAUUCAGCUAAAAGUCAUAAAAUAAAGUAGCACAAAAUUUGUAAUGUAAAUAUUAAAUGGCAGUACAGUGUUCAACACAAUCCACUUUCAUUCUCACCAUCAUCCAUGGCCAUGAGUCCCUUCAUUUUCAUUCAUUUAUUUAUUCACUAUAUAUUUAUUGAGGAGUCACCUUGCACAAGUCAAAAGAAAAAUCACAGUUGACUCAUAAGGGAAAAAGAACUGAAAUACAGUGAAGGGAAACAGUAGAUGAAUAUACAAGAUAUAUUAGAGGAAAAAUGUUAAUACCGUUGACCUAAUGAACACUUUUUAUGUUCCAGGCACUAUUCUAAACACUUUAUUAACUAUUUUGAUCCUCACAGAACACCUAUGAGAUGGACACUCUUAUUGCCUCCAAUAUACAGGUGAGGAAAUUAAGAUGAAGUCAAGUUAUAUACUCAAAUUUUUAAAAUAAUUUCUCUGUUAUGUGCUUUGGAUGGUAGUCAAGGUAACUGUCUUGUUCCAGGAAUAUUUUUCCAGGGGAGGGGGCCUAUAAGGAGCAUAUUGGAAAUAUUGGAUUUGAGCAGAGGUGAGCAACCUUUUUUUGUGGAAAACCAGAUAGUAAAUAUUUCAGUUCUGAGGGCUGAGUGGUCUCUGUUGUUUAGCUUUGCCAUUGUAGUGCAAAAGUAGCUGUAGGCAAUAUGUAAACAAAUGAGUGUGGGUUUGCUCUAAAAAUAUUCCAGUUAUGGUCAUUGAAAUUUAAAUGUGUUUUAAUUUUUACAUAUCACAAAAUAUUCUUCUUUUGAUUUUAUUUCAACCUCUACUAAAGGUAAACGAUUUUUAGUUCACAGGUCAUACAGGCAGAGUUGGAUUUGUCUCAUGGACUGUAGCUUGCUGGCCUCUGGCUUAGAAAAUAUAGAAUAUGAGUCCCAUUAAAGGAUGAAUGGGAGUUUUCCAGGCAGACAAAGGCAUUCCAAAUGAAGAAAAUAGCAGCUGGCAAAGACAUAAGUAGGUGAACAGGCCUGACUGUUUUGAAGAGCUAUAAACGGCAUCAUUGUCACUAGGUGUUGGAGUGGGUGGAAGACACAGAGAAGGGAAUGGAAGAAUCUCUUGAGGGAAUUUGACCUUUACUGUGUAGGCAGUGGGAAACCACUGUGGAUUCUGUGAUAUAAUGAGGUUUGCAUUUUGGAAAGUCUCUCUGGAAGCAAAGUGAAAAACUGAUGCUAGUAGUCCAAAGCAGAAGAAAAAGAAAACAUUUAAACAAUUUUGGUAGUACAGCAAAAGACCAUAUAGAUGCAAGCUGCUCAUCUCUUAGUUCCUUGGAAUUUUCUGUUUUCUUCACACAUACCAUGUCCUUUCCUGACUCAGAACCAUUGUAGAUGAUAUUCUUCCUUCCUGGAAUUUUUUUCUUCUCUUAUAUCACUUAACUCCUUUUCAUCCUUUAGGUUUCAGUUUUAAUGUCACUUCUCCAGGAAAGCUUUCAUAGACCCCACUCAGAUCAGGAUUCACAGCCUUUUGAGACACAAAAGUGGACUUGUACUUCUCUUUAGCUACAAUCGCAUAACAUUUGCUCAGGAUCUGUCUCCUGUGCUAGACUGUAAGUCAACUGUCUGCCCCUAUAUUCCAGGGUCUUUCACAGUGCCUACUUCAGAGUAGAUACUCAAUGAAUAUUUGUAGUGACAUGGGAUUGAAAGAAAGGAUACUUACCAAGCAGCAUUGACUUGAAUUUUGUGAUUUAACAGUUGAAUGAGGAAUAAAAUAGGGCUAAGGAUAAUUCCUAGAUUUGGGUGACAAAAUACUUGGUGGCACACACAGAGAGAAUAUAGGAUGGAAGUUAAAUUUGAGGCACUUAUGGAAACGUUGAUUUUGAAUUGCCUCUGGGACAUCUGAGGAGACAUGUCAGGAGAUGUUUUGUCUCCUCCUCACUGGACUAGGAUGAUCAUUUUAUAUUUGAUCCUGAUUAAAACCUGAUUCAUCGUAAUUCAGUCCUAAUAUCAGACUUAGAAAUGCAUAUCUUCAUAAUUUAAUUUAAAAUAUUCAUUUUAAAAUAAAAUUUAUUAUUAG
This 3725-nucleotide long non-coding RNA is filed under the name Homo sapiens (human). RNAcentral describes it as "HSALNT0192573". The record is from RNAcentral. Lineage: Eukaryota; Metazoa; Chordata; Mammalia; Primates; Hominidae.